RNAcentral lists this transfer RNA (69 nucleotides) under Ictidomys tridecemlineatus (thirteen-lined ground squirrel). RNAcentral describes it as "Spermophilus tridecemlineatus (thirteen-lined ground squirrel) tRNA". It matches the Rfam family "tRNA". From Rfam's summary of the family: Transfer RNA (tRNA) molecules are approximately 80 nucleotides in length. Lineage: Eukaryota; Metazoa; Chordata; Mammalia; Rodentia; Sciuridae. The record is from Rfam by way of RNAcentral.
GGGGAUAUAGCUCAGUUGGUAGAGUGCUUGCUUCACAUGCACAAAUCUUGGGUUCAAUCCCCAGUACCA